AUGCUCAAUGUAUUCCAAAAUAAGAGACUCAACACAUCUGAAUCGGGGAACGGAACGAUAGCAUCCGGAAAAGAGUAUUAUUUCAACAACUGGAUGACGCUGCUUUCCCAGCUGCCUUUGCUGCUGUUCACGCUGCUCAACUCUAUUCUCUAUCCACGGAUCUCGGAGAAGAUGAGGAUUGGAGGAAGUCUAGUCUUCAUCUUCCUGCUCUUCUUCCUCACUGCCGUCCUGGUGAUGAUCCCCAUGGAGGAGGACCGGUUCUUCUCCAUCACCAUGGCGACCAUCUGGUUCAUCAACUGUGAGUGCCAAAUUCACGGGAUCUACAUUCAUCACAACUAACAUUGAAUGUGUUUAUGAUGUGACAGACGAUUUCGCUUCAAAGACAUGCUGAUUUAGAUUUCUAUGAGUCAAAGUAGGGUGACACAGUGGCUCAAUGGUUAGCACUGCCACCUCACAGCAAGAAGGUCGCUGGUUUGAGUUCCAGCUGGGUCAGUUGGCGUUUCUGUGUGGAGUUUGCAUGUUCUCCCCAUGUUGGUGUGGGUUUCCUCCGAGUGCUCCGGUUUCCCCCACAGUCCAAACACAUGCGCUGUGGGGGAACUGAUGAACUUUGAUGA
This 614-nucleotide long non-coding RNA is filed under the name Danio rerio (zebrafish). Its description in RNAcentral is "lncRNA (ENSDARG00000117447.1)". Lineage: Eukaryota; Metazoa; Chordata; Actinopteri; Cypriniformes; Danionidae. The record is from RNAcentral.